AUGGAGGCUAUUAGAUUCAUGGAGAAUGCAUAUGGCAAAGAAAUGAGGGGCUACCACUACACCCAUGUCAAGAGGCUAGAAAAUCAAGUGACGCACCUGGUCAAAUGGUUGACUUCAUCCAAUGAGACAAUCAAGAAGCUGCGCAAAACAUGCUACUACGCUGUCAGGUACAUGAACUCAUAUUCUGCCCAGAUAGAAAACACAAUAGCUGCUCGCCACCUGAAAGGUCAGGACAACACCAAAGGAGUUAUGAAAACAGCUCUUGCAAGCAUCGAAGGACCGACGCAAAGGCUACGCUACAUUGCUAUGAAGUUUGAGCAGUGCCUUGAAGCAACCAGAAACAGUUUCUGGUAA
Molecule: ribosomal RNA, 354 nt
Filed under: Triticum aestivum (bread wheat)
Lineage: Eukaryota; Viridiplantae; Streptophyta; Magnoliopsida; Poales; Poaceae
Description: partial small subunit ribosomal RNA
Source: RNAcentral